Molecule: non-coding RNA, 48 nt
Filed under: unclassified sequences
Description: ssnA RNA
Rfam family: ssnA RNA
Source: RNAcentral
AAUUUUACGGCUGUAAGGGAGUGCUUCGCGCGCGGGCUGUCAAACCUU